GCGGCGCCCGCAGCCCCACGACGCACCGGCCGCACGACGGCGCUUUACGACGAUGCCGCAAACCAACCCCGCGGCCUGCCCGCCUGACCCCCCGUCUGCGCAGGCGCACGGAGAAUCAGACUAACCUUGAACCAGUGAUCCUCCUACCUCAGCCUUCAGUGCUGAGAUACUGUGCUGCUAGUUCUGUGUCAACGUCAUACAAGCUACAUUCAUCUGGGAGCAGGAACCUCAGUUGAGAAAAUGUCCGCACCAGAUUGACCUGUGGGAAAACCUGUGGGGCAUUUUCUUGAUUGACUAUUGAUGAAGGCAGGCCCAGGACCCUUGGGCAAGUGGUCCUGGAUUCUAUGAGAAAGCAGGCUGAGCAAGUCACUAGGAGCAAGCCAGUAAGCAGCACCCCUCCAUGGCCUCUGUGUCAGCUCCUGCCUCCAGGAUCCUGCCCUGCUGAGUUCCCGCCUCCAGGUUCCUGUCCUGCUGAGUUCCCGCCUCCAGGAUCCUGCCCUGCUGAGUUCCCGCCUCCAGGAUCCUGCCCUGCUGAGUUCCCGCCUCCAGGAUCCUGUCCUGCUGAGUUCCCACCUCCAGGAUCCUGCCCUGCUGAGUUCCCGCCUCCAGGUUCCUGCCCUGCCGAGUUCCCGCCUCCAGGAUCCUGUCCUGCUGAGUUCCCACCUCCAGGAUCCUAUCCUACUUGAGUUCCCGCCUCCAGGAUCCUGCCCUGCUGAGUUCCCGCCUCCAGGAUCCUGCCCUGCUGAGUUCCCGCCUCCAGGAUCCUGCCCUGCUGAGUUCCCGCCUCCAGGUUCCUGCCCUGCCGAGUUCCCGCCUCCAGGUUCCUGUCCUGCUGAGUUCCCGCCUCCAGGAUCCUGCCCUGCUGAGUUCCCGCCUCCAGGAUCCUGCCCUGCCGAGUUCUUGUCCUUGUGGUGGACUGUGAUAGAGAACUGUAAACUGAAAUAAACCUUUCCUCCUCAA
Long non-coding RNA from Peromyscus californicus insignis, 960 nucleotides. RefSeq lists it as uncharacterized. The transcript is spliced from 2 exons. The record is from RefSeq and is a predicted model, not a curated record. Lineage: Eukaryota; Metazoa; Chordata; Mammalia; Rodentia; Cricetidae.